This 341-nucleotide unclassified non-coding RNA is filed under the name fungal sp. Its description in RNAcentral is "partial internal transcribed spacer region". The stretch from base 1 to 46 matches the Rfam family "Eukaryotic small subunit ribosomal RNA", at positions 1786 to 1831 of the family's 1831-position model. Lineage: Eukaryota; Fungi. The record is from RNAcentral.
AAGUCGUAACAAGGUAACCGUAGGUGAACCUGCGGUUGGAUCAUUAAUGAAGGCUUUUAUGCCAAACCAGCUUUUUUAAGCUGACCCACCUUGUGUGAACCGUUAAAAUGUUUUUAGGCGGAGAGGGUUUUUUAAGUUGGGGUUUGAAUACUUCUUCUUUAAUCCAAAGUCUUUAAUUAGAUAACAUCUCCGCCUACUGCUAUUUUCUUGAAAAAGAGGAUGGCAAAACAAAAACAAACCUUUUAUUGUCUUUCAAAUUAUAAAUCUAAACAAAUUUUUUACAUUCUAAAAUAAAAUUUCGAAUGAAAAAACAACUUUUGACAACGGAUCUCUUGGCUCUC